ACACCCUCAAGCUCUGCUUGGUGUUGGGCGUCUGUCCCGCCGUUCGGCGUGGACUCGCCCCAAAUGCAUUGGCGGCGGCCUUUGCCAGCCUCUCGCGCAGCGAAGAUUGCGCUUCUCGAGGCCCGGCGUCGGGUUUGCGUCCACGAAGCUCACCUCCACG
Molecule: unclassified non-coding RNA, 160 nt
Filed under: uncultured Pleosporaceae
Lineage: Eukaryota; Fungi; Ascomycota; Dothideomycetes; Pleosporales; Pleosporaceae
Description: sequence contains ITS2
Source: RNAcentral